RNAcentral lists this ribosomal RNA (433 nucleotides) under uncultured bacterium. Its description in RNAcentral is "partial 16S ribosomal RNA". It matches the Rfam family "Bacterial small subunit ribosomal RNA", at positions 29 to 507 of the family's 1533-position model. The record is from RNAcentral.
AACGAACGCUGGCGGCAGGCCUAACACAUGCAAGUCGAGCGAGGACUUCGGUCCUAGCGGCGGACGGGUGAGUAACGCGUGGGAACGUGCCCUUUGCUUCGGAAUAGCCCUGGGAAACUGGGAGUAAUACCGGAUGAGCCCUUUGGGGGAAAGAUUUAUCGGCGAAGGAUCGGCCCGCGUUGGAUUAGGUAGUUGGUGGGGUAAUGGCCUACCAAGCCGACGAUCCAUAGCUGGUUUGAGAGGAUGAUCAGCCACACUGGGACUGAGACACGGCCCAGACUCCUACGGGAGGCAGCAGUGGGGAAUCUUAGACAAUGGGGGAAACCCUGAUCGAGCCAUGCCGCGUGAGCGAUGAAGGCCUUAGGGCUGUAAAGCUCUUUCAGCUGGGAAGAUAAUGACGGUACCAGCAGAAGAAGCCCCGGCUAACUCCGUG